RNAcentral lists this ribosomal RNA (468 nucleotides) under uncultured bacterium. RNAcentral's name for it is "partial 16S ribosomal RNA". It matches the Rfam family "Bacterial small subunit ribosomal RNA", at positions 28 to 507 of the family's 1533-position model. The record is from RNAcentral.
GACGAACGCUGGCGGCGUGCUUAACACAUGCAAGUCGAACGGUCAAGCUCCAGCUUUCUGGAGUGGAUCAGUGGCGAACGGGUGUGUAACACGUGAGCAACCCGCCCCUGUCUCUCGGAUAAGCGCUGGAAACGGCGUCUAAAACUGGAUAUGAGAAGGUUCAGCAUGUGCACCUUCUGGAAAGUUUUUCGGUUGGGGAUGGGCUCGCGGGCUAUCAGCUUGUUGGGGUGGUAAUGGUUGACCAAGGGAGAGACGGGUAGGCGGCAUGAGAGGGCAACCGGCCACCAUGGGACUAAGGGAGGGCGCAGAAUGCUACGGGCGGCAGCAGUGGGGAGUAUGGCGGAGUGGGCGAAAGCGUGAGACGGAGGCGCCGCGUGAGGGAAGACGGCCUUCGGGUUGUAAACCUCUGUCAGCAGGGAAGAAGCGGGAGUGACGGUACCUGCAGAGGAAGCAACGGCUAACUACGUG